Carassius gibelio (silver crucian carp) is the source of this 1381-nucleotide long non-coding RNA. RefSeq lists it as uncharacterized. The transcript is spliced from 3 exons. The record is from RefSeq and is a predicted model, not a curated record. Lineage: Eukaryota; Metazoa; Chordata; Actinopteri; Cypriniformes; Cyprinidae.
AUUCUGGGCUCUCCUCUCCCUGGCGUUUCCCUUACUGUGGCCGUUUGGCUAGAGUGAGGCUGGUGGCAUCGGCUUUGUGGCAGAGUUCCAGGUGUGCGAAUGCAAGCUGUUGCAUUGAGACUUGGCACUUUGUUGGAGUAACCAUAUAGCUUUGCGUUUGGUCUUCAUUCAACCUUAAACGGGAAAUGGAAAAUCACAAUCUCAAAGCUCAUCCCGUGCUGAAGACCCUACACGUGACACUGCUGCUGUUUUGCUUAUGGACAUUUUCAUUUCCUUUUUUUGUAGUUUAUUUCUUUAACAGUGUUAAUUUGCUGUUGUCUACUUCUACAAUUGUUUGUUUUCUGGUUUGGUACAAUGCAUUAUACUGGGGAAAAUUAGGAGGCCUGAGUACUAAAGUGACCACGUCCAGUGUUUUGUAAAAAGUAAUUUGUAUUUGUUUUUUUUAUUCACUAUAGUUUGUAACUUUUGGAUAAUGGGUUUAUUCUCUUCUCCAGGAGCCAGUGAGGACUUUGUGUGGAGCAGGGGAGGCUAGCCGCUCUUCUUUGUGUGCUUCACAGGGUGCCUUGUGUGUUUUUGUAAUCUUUCUACAGGUUGUGAGUGCUGUGGUUGACUUGGUGUGAAUCUAGGUGGGUUUAGAUGAUCCGCGGAGAUGCAGCCAGCCUUCCCUGUUCCCACUAAGCUUGACCUUGUGGGUAUGUGUCGGAAGAGAGCAUUUUAGUAUUCUUAUAAUAAAGUGUUAUUUAUUUUUUUUGUAUUGUUACUCAUGUCUCACUUAAUUCCCUGCCCUCAAUUGGUAAGACGUACGUGUGUGUGUCCUUAUUGGGAGUAUUUCCCUGGCCCCCCACCAGGGUGGCAUAGUCGGAUGAAACUAGUUGUGACUUAGUAAAAUUUAAGAUCUGUAAUAUCCGCCACACUAAGAAAAGUCAAAUCAACAUAUCUUGGCCUCACUCAUAUGAUAACUAGUGGGUUUCAGGUUAAAAUAUAAGGUUCUGUUAUAUGUGUUCAAGGCAGUGCAUGGAAUGACUUCUGCUUAUGUGUCUGAGUUGAUUACUUUCUGACCAUCAUCUAGGUCUUUAAGAUUAACAAAUAAGUUGUUUCAUACUGUCCCACAAACUAAUUUAAAGCUGAAAGGUGAUCAGGCCUUUGCUGUUGCAAGGUCCAAAGCUUUGGAAUAGCCUACCAUCUGAGACUAGAGAGAUUACAUCCAUAAAUGUUUUCACAGCUGGGGUUAAAAAUUAUUUCUUGUCAUUAGCUUUCAAGGAGUUGGGCUAGUAUCUGUGUUUUUAUUUGGAUUGUUUUAUGUAUUGUAUGUUGAUUGUACAACACUUUGGUCUGCAGGUGCAGUUGUAAACUGCUUUAUAAAUAAAAUUAAUGAAUGUUA